UGGGGAAUCGUCCAGCGGCAGGACAUCAGACUCUGGAUCUGAUUACCCAGGUUCGAAUCCUGGUUCCCCAG
RNAcentral lists this transfer RNA (71 nucleotides) under Thermodesulfobacteriota bacterium. RNAcentral describes it as "tRNA-Gln". It matches the Rfam family "tRNA". From Rfam's summary of the family: Transfer RNA (tRNA) molecules are approximately 80 nucleotides in length. Lineage: Bacteria; Pseudomonadati; Thermodesulfobacteriota. The record is from RNAcentral. RNAcentral also lists the same sequence under 1 other name.